This is a ribosomal RNA of 301 nucleotides. It matches the Rfam family "Bacterial small subunit ribosomal RNA", at positions 620 to 918 of the family's 1533-position model.
UCUGCGGUGGGUACGGGCAGACUAGAGUGCGGUAGGGGAGACUGGAAUUCCUGGUGUAGCGGUGGAAUGCGCAGAUAUCAGGAGGAACACCGAUGGCGAAGGCAGGUCUCUGGGCUGUAACUGACGCUGAGGAGCGAAAGCAUGGGGAGCGAACUUGAUUAAAUACCCUGGUAGUCCAUGCCGUAAACGUUGGGCACUAGGUGUGGGGACCAUUCCACGGUUUCCGCGCCGCAGCUAACGCAUUAUGUGCCCCGCCUGGGGAGUACGGCCGCAAGGCUAAAACUCAAAGGAAUUGACGGGG